UAGUUAUUCAUGCUAUGCUU
Molecule: non-coding RNA, 20 nt
Filed under: Arabidopsis thaliana (thale cress)
Lineage: Eukaryota; Viridiplantae; Streptophyta; Magnoliopsida; Brassicales; Brassicaceae
Source: RNAcentral